UACAGAGACUGCAAGCGUUAUUCGGAUUCACUGGGCGUAAAGGGUGCGCAGGCGGCCAAGUGUGUUAGGCGUGAAAGCCCGGGGCUUAACCCCGGAAUUGCACCUAAAACUACAUGGCUAGAGCAUUGGAGAGGGUAGCGGAAUUCACGGUGUAGCAGUGAAAUGCGUAGAUAUCGUGAGGAACACCAGAGGCGAAGGCGGCUGCCUGGACAAUUGCUGACGCUCAGGCACGAAAGCGUGGGGAGCAAAAGGG
RNAcentral lists this ribosomal RNA (253 nucleotides) under uncultured bacterium. Its description in RNAcentral is "partial 16S ribosomal RNA". It matches the Rfam family "Bacterial small subunit ribosomal RNA", at positions 524 to 776 of the family's 1533-position model. The record is from RNAcentral.